RNAcentral lists this long non-coding RNA (964 nucleotides) under Salmo salar (Atlantic salmon). Its description in RNAcentral is "lncRNA (ENSSSAG00000115734.1)". The record is from RNAcentral. Lineage: Eukaryota; Metazoa; Chordata; Actinopteri; Salmoniformes; Salmonidae.
CAGAAAAUACCUCAUCCCUACUGUAAAACAUGGAGGUGGAUCUUUGAUGUUUGAAUGAAAAGCACGACUGUUGGUAUGACAUCCUACACUACUUGCUGGAGCUGGGGGAGGAUUUAAUGUCCUCACAGAUCAGAAACAUCUCCCUCCUGACCAGAGUGACUGAGGAUGGAUCUUGUCAAGAGGAGCGUCAAGACGUCAUACUGCAGUGGGCUGAGGAACUGAAUCACUCACCACAGACUGGACAGGACAAUGACCCAACACACCUCAAGGCUGUGUAAGGGCUAUUUUACCAAGAAGGAGAGGGAUGUAGUGCUGCAUCAGAUGACCUAGCCUACACAAUCACCCGACCUCAACCAAAUUGAGAUGGUUUGGGAUGAGUUGGACUGCAGAGUGAAGGAAAAGCAGCCAACAAGUGCUCAGCAUAUGUGGGAACUCCUUCAAGCAUUCCAGGUGAAACUGGCUGAGAGAAUGCCAAGAGUGUGCAAAGUUGUCAUCAAGGCAAAGGGUGGCUACUGUGAAGAUUCUCAAAUAUAAAAUAUAUUUUGAUUUGUUUAACACUUUUUUGGUUACUACAUGAUUCCAUAUGUGUUAUCAAAUCAAAUUUUAUUGGUCAAAUACACAUGAUUAGCAGAUGUUAAUGCGAGUGUAGCGAAAUGCUUGUACUUCUAGUUCUGACCAUGCAGUAAUAUCUAACUGUCACGUCCUGACCAGCAGAGGGAGUAAUUUUAUUUUAUUUGGUCAGGACGUGGCAGAGGGGUAUUUGUUUCAUAUGGUUCGGGUUGUGUGUGUUAUUUAAGGGGUGUUUGGUUUAUGUAGUCUGGGGUUUGAGUAUUGUUCUAGUGUUGGUUUUCUAUGGUUUAUCUAGUUGUUCUGUUUCUUUGUUAGUCUGUGUGGCUCCCGAUCAGGAACAGCUGUAUGUCGUUGUUCCUGAUUGGGAGUCAUAUAUUAGGAGUGUGUUUUUCAC